AAGUCGUAACAAGGUUUCCGUAGGUGAACCUGCGGAAGGAUCAUUAAUAGUUUAUAUGUUUGGUGAUUUCCACAGCUGCUCCGGCGGUGUCAUCAAAUAUUCAUGUGGAUGUUCCGUGUUACCGUAUUCUACGCUUGGUGAGUUGUGGAUGCUUUGUUUGACAAUGAGGAAGCAGCUUGCCAAAGUUUACUAUUUCCAAACCAAAUGAACUUAAGCGCGUCAAGCGUCUAUUAAUAAGUACAACUGUUAGCAAUGGAUCACUCGGUUCUC
Molecule: unclassified non-coding RNA, 270 nt
Filed under: fungal sp.
Lineage: Eukaryota; Fungi
Description: partial internal transcribed spacer region
Rfam family: Eukaryotic small subunit ribosomal RNA (bases 1-46)
Source: RNAcentral